RNAcentral lists this long non-coding RNA (1253 nucleotides) under Marmota monax (woodchuck). Lineage: Eukaryota; Metazoa; Chordata; Mammalia; Rodentia; Sciuridae. The record is from RNAcentral.
CAGAGAAACUUGGACUUCAUCAGUCUCAUAGGGGAUUCUAUGCAGAUGGUCUGAGCACCAAAGUUUUGGAAACUUGGGGUGGGAGUCUCUACCACUGGGUUAGUAGGCAAGUCUAAUCCCCAACCCAGGAAAUGAUCCAGUGGCUUCUCUGAGGUUGCACACUCCCUGGCUGAACAACUGUUGGUGCCUGAGUAAAAGAAGGGCUUCUCUUGAGAACUAUGCUUCAUCUAACCAAUCAAACCUAUUUAAAGCCUAAAAAGUUCUGUCUCAGGAACAAGCUGCCCUACUCCUCCUUACCUCUUUGCUAGUUUCUGGUGUCCUGUCUUGUAUGGUCUUGGUUUGGAGGUAAGGUGACGAAGGAAGAGCAGCCACCAUGGCGGCAGGAUGGUCAUUGGAAAUGCUGGAUUUCCAGAGCUGGGAUGGGGACAGUCCCAGGCCAGCUGGGAUGGCUGGCCACCCUCCUUGCAUAGAAGCCCUCAUUGUGUGGAGCCCUGGCCAGCUCCACUCUGCUGCUGAAGGCUGCGCCAUGGUGUCUCAGGUCAGUGGAAGAACCCUGUGGGUAUAUUUGCUUUGCCUGUCAAAGUUGUUCCUUUUUUCUUUAGUAGAAAAAUUCUUUGUGGUUUGGUUUCUUCGCCUCAUUUCCUAGAGCUACAGGAGGCUGAAGGCAGGUAGCCUCACCUGGCCUGAGGAGUAGCUCCUCUAUGCCUUAUUUUUGUCAAAUAGUAUUACAUUGAGAAUUGGUCCUGGCUUUUUUCUUCUUUUUCUUUUUCUUUUAAUUUCCACUGAGGCUAUAACUAGGAUGUGGGCUUCCUAAGACUGGAGAAAUUAAGUCUUAAAACAGCCCCUUGGGAGGAUAGGAUGGGGAAGUGCCAGAGAACGGGGAUCCAGGAGGAUGGGCUGACCUGCUGGUAGGAGACCUUGUAGCCCACCUCGCCCAGUGGAUUCCCUGUUUUAUGAGCUGAGAGAGACCUUAGUGUAUUCUUGCUGAAUUCAUUUUGGAGGAGGAAAGUGUAUUUUCUUAAGUGAGGCAGGCCUCUAGGGUGGAGUUCAGGCUGUUUUGCUCUCAGCUUGGGCUGUGGGAUGAAAUAGGGUCUGUUACAGACAAAGCUCUGUUUGAACUGGAAUGAGUCACAAGAGGUGUCCAGGGAGGAAAUGCAGGAAUUCUGGAACCGGACAGUGUUGCCCUCAGUAGAGAUAGACUGGGUGAGUGAUCAAGCUGAAUAAUCCCAUUUUGGGUUUUUUAAAAAAGGUCU